ACAACAAUCUGAUUCAUCUUUGUGCAUGUAUUACCUCCUCUCUAGCAUUUAUUUAGAGGAAAAUGAUUGACAUAAGUAGAAAUGUGAAAUUCUAUUUUCCUUCAAGAUAUCUCCCUUCUCACAAUUCCUUCCAAAGAAUGUUUUGAGUAUUAAAAAUAUGUACAACGAGACAACCAUAUGUUAAAAGGUAUUCAUCCCUAUCUUGGCAUGGGUAUGAUCUCAGAGAUUUAUUUCAAGCUGAAAAAAUUUUAGGUGUUAAAAAAAAAAAAACCUGUGAUGAAGCCAAUUAGUAAACACCUAUAUCUAGUAUUAUUAAUCUGCUUUUGAUUUAAUCAAAAUAGAAAUAAAAUUGGAUAACUCUACUCAAACUAAAGUAAAACAUUUUAUGGUUUAAGGGCUUACGGUUUUAAUAUUUUCAAAAGGUGAUUUUCUACUCAUAUUUAUAAGCACCCAGAUGGACAUUUGGCAAAAUUAGAUAUUAUAUAUGAACUAUGCCUGUUUAAAAAGCAGAACAAGAUGUCCCACUGGUUAAGGCUGAAAGUCAGAAGGAGAUGACAAAAGGAUAAUGCUACUUACCAAACAGAUAACACUUAUUAACGAUGGUUUAUUCUUUGUCAGGUGCAGUACUAAGCACUGUAGAGUACACUGUGCCUUUAAAAGACACAAUAGUACUAUUUUUGUGUUCAUUUUAAAUACAAGAAACUGAGUCACAAAGAGGCUAAGACUGGCUAAAGGCGAGAGUCUUGCCUCAAGUAAAUAGUAGAAUGGGGACUGGCAUGUCAUUUACUAUUUUUAAAAGCACAUACUUUAAAUUGAACUUAUUCAAUAAUUUCAUCCACGAACAUUUAUUAAGACCUCUGAAGUGCUGAGUGGAGCUCAAGAUUCUGGUGAUACAGGAGUAAGCAAGAAAGGCAAAACCACUGCCUGCCUCAAACAUAUUCUUUUGGGAGCAGAAGGAAAAUCAAUACACAAACGAAUGAACAGGAUUACUGCAGAUGGUGAUAAGUGCUAAAAUGAAAAAGAUGUUGAGCCAAGGAGUAGGAGAAAAGGACAGCUGACAAUUCCCGUACGUGGUUCUUAAAGGCCUUACUGGGGAGGUGACAAUAAAAGCAGGUCCAGAGCCAUGAGAAGUCCUCUGACACAAGGGACCUGGAGACAGAGCCUUCUGGAAAGCCCUGCACAGGAGCCCUGUUGGAAGGUCAGAGAAAGAGAAUGAAUUGCAGGGCAGCUGGAGCAUAGUAGAAGGGCAGUCACAUCCUCUCAGAGACCUAAUGUAGCAGCAGCUAUCACUACUAUCUAAUUCCAGAACAUUUUCAUCACCCCAAAAAGAAAACCUGUACCCAUUAGCAAUCACUUCCCAUUCCUAACAUACCCGAACUUCUGGCAACCACUUAUCUGUGUUCUGGUUGUAUGGAUUUACUUUUCUGGAUAUUUCAUAUCAAUUGGAUCAUACAUAUAUGGUCUUUUUUGUCUGAUUUCUUUCACUUAGCCUACAGUUUUCAUGACUCACCCAUGCUAUCCCAUGUAUCAAGAAGAAACAAUUUGAACAGAUUGAUUACUCGUAUGAAACUGAAUUUGUAAUUAAAAAAAAAAAACAACAGCAAAUCAAAGUCCAGGACUGGGCAGCUUCACAGAGGAAUUUUAUCAAACAUAUAAAGAAGAGCUAAUAUUUAUCCUUCUCAAACUAUUUCCAAAAAAUGAAGAGGAUAGAACAUUCCCAAAUUCAUUCUAUGAGGCCACCAUUCCCUGAUACCAAAACCAGACAAAGGCACUACAAAAAAAAAAAAAUUACAGGCCAAUAUUUUUUAUGAGUAUAGGUGUAAAAAUCCUCAACAAAAUUUUAACACACCAAAUCCAACAUAAAAGGAUAUAAAAAGGAUCAUACACCAUAAUCAGUUGGAUUUAUUCCAGGGAAGCAAUAAUGGUUCAAUAUUCACAAAUCAAUCACUGUGAUACACCAUAUUAACAAAAUAAAAUAGAGCCUCCAUCAGUCUAGGGCCUUGAGUGCCUCUGAUGACCAGAACCCAUAAACAGAUUAUAUUAAUCUGCUUGGGCUGCCACAACAAAAUACCAUAAAUUGAGUUAUUUAAACAGCAGUUAUUUAUUUCUCAUUGUUCUGGAGGCUGGAAAAAUCUAAGAUCAAGACUUGCGCUGGGGGGAAAAAAAAAAUUAAACAGGGAGUUCCCAUUGUGGCUCAGUGGGUUAAGAACCUGACAUAGUGUUCAUAAGGAUGUGGGUUUGAUCCCUGGCCUUGCUCACUGGGUUAAGAGUCCAGCAUUGCCACAAGUUGCAGCAUAGGUUGCAGAUGCCACUUGGAUCCUGUGUGACUGUGGCUAUGGCAUAAGCUGGCAGCUCCAAUUCAACCCCUAGCCUGGGAACUUCCACAUGCCACAGAAGCAGCCCUAAAAAAGGGGAAAAAAAUAUUUCCACUGAUUCACUUUCUGGUGAAAGUCCUCUUCCUGGCUUGCAAUGGUCACUUUCUCAGUGUCCUCAUGUGGGGAGAGAAUAAGAGAGAAAGGAAGCAAACUCUCUGAUGUCUUUUCUUUUAAUACCACUAAUCUCAUUAUUAGGGCCCCGUCCUUCUGACAUUAUCUAAAACUAAUUACUACUCAAAAAAAAAGUCUCCAUAUCUAAAUACCAUCACUUUGGGGUUAGGGCUUCAAUACAUGAAUUUCAGCAGGGGAACAAAUUUCAGUCCAUAGUAUAGACUCACAAGAGAUGUGCAACGUGCAAGAAAAAUAAACAUUCUUUUUGUCAAUGCACAAGAAAUGAAUCCAUCUUGACUGAUAUAAUAUUUUAUUCUAAGUUCUUUGAAAAGCUAUUAGGGAGGUUAAUAAGCUGCAUGAUACAAUUUAAUUUACGUUUAUAAAUAUAUGUAAAAAGGAGUUCCAUUGUGGCUCAGCAGAGAGGAAUCUGACAAGUAUCCAUGAGAAUGAAGGUUUGAUCCCUGACCGCACUCAGUGGGUUAAGGACCAGUGUUGCUGUGAGCUGUGGUGUAGGUCACAAACAUGGCUUGGAUCCAGCAUUGCCUUGGCUGUGGUGUAGGCUGGCAGCUACAGCUGCGAUUGGACCCCUAGCCGGGGAACCUCCAUAUGCUGUGGGUAUGGCCCUACCAAGACAAAAAAUAAUAAUAACAAAUAAAUAAAUAAACAAAAGUAAAUGGAUUGAGGAGGCAAAACAUAGCCACAGAAAGAAAGAAAACUUCCAAAGGGUUACAAGGAUCCAGACAAGAGUUAGUGGUGGUGCCUUGAGCUAUAAUAACAAAAAUUACACAGAAAUGUACAGAAAUCAUUAUAACCUGCAAUAGAUAAAUGUGGGGAGGGUGUAAAGGAGAGUCAGUCACUAUCUCCACGUCCACAGUAGUACCGCCAGCCUGCAGAAUUGUAGGGAGGAUAAAGAAAGCUUACUCAUAAAAGAAUCUAGAACAUCACACCCUCAGGGUUCAGUAAGGUCCGCGCCCAUCCUCUCCUCCCCUUUACCUCCACCCUCAUCACUGCCACUCUGUCCCAGGGCUGAAAUCAACAAUUAUAUUUUUUUCUUCAGGUCACAUCAUUGUCUCAUCAUUGUGCGGGAUCAGCGUAGGAAAGCCCAAACUUGGCUCACCACAUUUUUUACCCAGGGCUGGCUCACGAACUUGAUUUCUGUUUACCUCUCCUCAACAAGGAACUUUGUCUACCGCUCACAAUAAAUGAUGCACAAUUCACAGUGAGGCAGCUCUACAGGGGUGAAAAACCAAAUAAGAGUGGCUCGCAGUGCUACUGAUACAAUUCUCUUACUUAUAAUUAUUCUUGACAACCAGAAAUUUGUGGAAAGAGAUGUUCAGAUUAUGUUAUUUCCAGUAGGCUUGUGGCCACUUGACUUUAGUGAAGGGAAUUGGAUGUUCCUUCUCUGUAUAAUAACCAAAGUUGUUUUUUUUUUUUAACAGAACAAUCGAUUUUUCCUAUAAACAUUGUUCAUUUCGAAAUUCUAUUUGCCUAAUUGUCUACUGCAGCAACAAGCUGAAAACCAUAUCAUCGUUUUAGCCAUGAAAUAUCUAGUGAUUUAGACCAGGCCCAGGGCAACAAGACUAUAAUUGUUGACUUUAGGCGUCAAACUCCAACUGGAAAUGAGGGGGCAAGGGAAAUAUUCCUGUACAAAAUAUUUCUGGGCUCAAUGCCUUGUUGAUAAGAGCAUAUUAUUUAUGGAAGCUUUUUUUAAAAAACUGAUGCUCAGAAACAUAAAAUAGUUUUUAAUCACUGCAUGCAUUAAAAGAGAGAAUUCUGGGAAUUCCCAUUGUGGCUCAGCGAUAACAAACCCAGCUAGUAUCCAUGAGGAUGCAGGUUCGAUCCCUGGCCUCACUCACUGGGUUAAGGAUCUGGCAUUGCUGUGAGCCAUGGUGUAGGUUGACAGCUGCAGCUCCAAUUUGAUCCCUAGCCUGGGAACUUCCAUAUGCAGCACCUGUGGCCCUAAAAAGAAAAAAGAAAAAAUUGUUUUAAGAAGUAAAAGAGAGAAUUCUUCUCAGCUUUGAUAAGUCUAGGCAGCCUCAGCAGAGUAAAGGUAGCAGUGUUGAGUAUCUGCACAGAGAUGGGGAGAGGGCAGUCCCCAGUCUCCUCAAAACCAUCUCUCUCACGCUCACACAAUCAUCUUGAAAUCACUGAAACCUCUAAAUGCCCAGAUACCAACUUGAGAGAGAGAAGGGAAAGGAGUGAGUUUUUGAAGGGAGAUAAACAGCCCUGGAUAGGAAUUAAACUGAAUAUUUAUCAAAAGAGUCUGAGAAAAUCUAAAACAUUUAGAAUUGUCUCUUGUUGCUAACAAUGAAAAGGACAUCUACAAGCAAUGGAAGUGGAAUUCAUAGUUCAUGUAUGAGCAUAAAGAAAGAGAAGUUUCUUUUGCACCACUGCA
RNAcentral lists this long non-coding RNA (4881 nucleotides) under Sus scrofa (pig). RNAcentral describes it as "lncRNA (ENSSSCG00065029729.1)". The record is from RNAcentral. Lineage: Eukaryota; Metazoa; Chordata; Mammalia; Artiodactyla; Suidae.